UCCACCUUGUCGGCGGCAGUUUCACCAGAGUCCCCGGCCGAACCGAUGGUAACUGGCGAUAAGGGUUGCGCUCGUUGCGGGACUUAACCCAACAUCUCACGACACGAGCUGACGACAGCCAUGCAACACCUGUCUUCCUUAGACCCCUGUUUCCAGGAGCCAUGGAUCCUUGCGGUGAUGUCAAGCCCGGGUAAGGUUCUUCGCGUUGCCUCGAAUUAAACCGCAUACUCCACCGCUUGUGCGGGCCCCCGUCAAUUCCUUUGAGUUUCAAGCUUGCGCUCGUACUCCCCAGGUGAGGCGCUUAAUGCGUUAGCUACGGCACGGGAGGGGUCGAUACCUCCCACACCUAGCGCCCAACGUUUACGGCCAGGACUAC
Molecule: unclassified non-coding RNA, 376 nt
Filed under: uncultured bacterium
Lineage: Bacteria
Description: contains 16S-23S intergenic spacer region
Source: RNAcentral